CAUUUUCAAUUUAAAGAGAUGUUCCAAAUCUGCCUGCUUAUCAUCUGACAAUUGGGGACAGGAUAGUAACUUCAAUACCUGAUGCUGUUGUUUGUAGCUUUGUUAGGAAUGGAGAAGAAGUAGAGGAGAAAGUUAUUGCUGUUGUAGAGGUAAAGAAAGACUACACCAGACACUCAAAUCUGGAAAUUGUGAGGCAGACCAGAAAUUCUGAAAUGAAGACAUCAGUUAUUAAGCAUAUUGAUUCUGGACUAAAAGGCCAGCAUGCUGGAGAAAUGCUAGCAGUUAUUCCUUCAUCUGUAUUUGGUUCUAAUGGAAUAUAUGGAAUCAUAGUACAGGGAACAAUGAUCACAUUUGUAUCCCUGGCAACAAGUCAAGAAUAUUGUAAUAACCUUAGUGAAGGGAAAAUGAAGAAUUGUCAUGCUACAAUAAAGUACAGCAAUGCAGUUAAUAUGCUUUCUACUGAGGGAAGAAAAGAACUUGUCAAAACCUUUCUUGGAAUGUCAACUUUACUUGAUUGUAUGUCACAGGAAAUAAUGAAUUAGGUAUUUGUUUGUAUUAGUUACCUCCUCAAACAUUUUUGUCAAACAUUAAACUUAGUUAAGAAGUAUAAUUAUAUCCUAUUCAACUUUUUUGCAAAGGGAUAAUAUUGUCUUUGAUCCACCUGUAUGUCAGUCCAUUUGAGGUUUCCAGACAAUAUAUAAAUAACACAUAGCUGAGAGGGUGAUAGAGCAGAUUGUUACCCCAAGAAAACAUUGUCAACUGAGGCGAAGCUAUGUGUUAUCUAAUUUAUUAUACUGAAUGUUCUGUUAUUACUGUCGAUUAAAUUUCAAAUUCAAAGUAAUAAACUAUGACGUCUUGUACAUAACAAUCAUCCGUUUAUUAAUAAAGCGCACAUUUGAUCAAGCGUCUCCGUGAAGGUUAAUAGAGUAUUUGCCAUAGGAUAGAAUCGUAUUUAAUAAAGCGCACACUUAAUCAAGCGUCUCUGUGAAGGGUAAUAGAGUAUUUACCAUAGAAUAGAGUAAAUUGUCUCACUCGUAUUAACAAAUCAAAAUCUGGCAUUUUGACAUGAAGUAUAAUAAUAUAAAUUAACACAUUUUCUUCAACUUGCUACAAACCUUUAUGACCAUAAGGUACAGAUCAAGUUUGAAUGUGGAUGUAACCAGAUUUUUGUUUGUUCCAGGGUGAAGCCCCUUUGUCAACUGAUCAUAUAGAAAAUUUUGAGUUUUUAAAAACUUGGAAAUGAGAUUUCUUUAGAUCUGCCAAAGGUUUAUUUAUACCAUGAGAUACAGAUCACUUUUGAAAUUUGUGCAUAAUACUAAGUAAAUGACUGAUAUGCAUAGAACAUACUUAUGUAGCAAUGUAACUUUAUAUCAAAUUAGAUUACCUGUAAAAGACCAUUGUUAUAUUUUUCUCAAUCCUGUUUUAUAUCAGUACUUCUUCAUUGGUAUUUAGAUAUACAUAUCAAAGGGACAACUCGAUAUCUAACUUAAAAUCCUCACACUUGUUCAUUUCAUGUCUCUAUAAUAAUAUAUUGUAUAGUAUCAUAUAUGUUUAUUUGAUAUUGUCUUGAUAUUUAUUAUUUGUAUAUAAUGGAGAAGACGUUCUAUGUUGAAAAACUUGUGUCUGAUCCUUUUGUUGUUAUUUUGACAAUAAAAUAUGUUUAAACUAAACUUUGUAGGAAGCAGGUAUUGAAUUAAAAAGAUCUUGCUUACAAAGAAAAUAAGAAACUCAUUUUAAGUAAGCUUUUCAAAAAAAAUUUAUGAAGGAUUUCAAAUUUAUGAAUCUUAAUACAUGUAUAUAUGAAUUCUUCCCUUAUACCUGUUUCUUCCUUUAUUUCCAAUAUUUUUAUGGAAGGUCUGUUAAAGCUUGAGGACAUAACAUCAGCAAGGAUAAUAAGUAUAUAUUUAAUCAUCCAGUAAAAAGUUCAUUUCAGUACUUUUCAAAACUAAAUGUAUUUAAUACAUGUCAUGCAUCUCAUUUAAAUAAAACAGAAAAAUUAGCACUUAUUAACUUAAUUUCUGUUUUAUCAAGGAUGAUGAUCUAAGUUACAAAAAUUACCUAUUUUUUAAAUAUGAGGUUAAGGGUCUAGGUCAACAUACUUGGUACACAACACAAAUUUUUGAAGUAUUCUACUUACACACAAAAUUUUGGAGGCCUAGCUCUUUAGGCAAUAAAGUUAUAAAAAUGACCUAUUUAUUGACCUUGAGUUCAAGGUCAACAUUCUUGGUACAGGACACAUCGUCUUUAAGUAACCGCCCUACACACCAAAGAUUGUAAGCCUAGGUCUUAAGACAAAAAAAUUACAAAUUAACCUUGAGGUCAAGGGUCAAGGUCAGCAUCCUUGAUACAAAUGACUCAUUGUCCUAAGAAAACUUAUCUUUACACCAAAUUUCCAAAGCCUAGCUCUUAAGACAAAAAAGUUACAGGCUGGUCUAGAAA
Long non-coding RNA from Mytilus californianus (California mussel), 2439 nucleotides. RefSeq lists it as uncharacterized. NCBI's taxonomy places the organism in Eukaryota, Metazoa, Mollusca, Bivalvia, Mytilida, Mytilidae. The transcript is spliced from 3 exons. The record is from RefSeq and is a predicted model, not a curated record.